AACCCAUCCGAGCAUAAAUUAUUGUGCUAUGAUUUCAGGUUCUCAGGAGAUGGAAGGCAGUAAUGAAAAUUCUGAAGAAAACAAUGAAGAUUCCCUGCAGACUGAUGGUGUAACAGAAAAUACCGUACAGGCCAAGCGCUGGUACAGCUGUCGUCACUAUACCUGGGGGAAUAAAUGUGUAACACGU
Molecule: long non-coding RNA, 187 nt
Organism: Protopterus annectens (West African lungfish)
Lineage: Eukaryota; Metazoa; Chordata; Ceratodontiformes; Protopteridae
Exons: 4
Source: RefSeq, a predicted model, not a curated record